UCACGGGGAUAUUAUGUCCGGGGAUAUUAACGCACGGAACCAAAUUUCAUAAUGAUCCGAUCAGAAUUGUAGUCACAAUCGUUAGGACAUGGCGCGUUAUGUCAUAUAUAUAUAUAAAUUUUUGAACCAAAGGCAUUUUUCGGCAUUUCUCGACAAAAUAAAACAUUAUAUCAAAAUUUUGGAAAAUUUGCAAUAUGAGACCCUGUACAAUAGCUAUUUCACUACUUUCUAAAAGAAAUAUACUUCAAAACCCGUGUCAGUCCACGGUAUUAAGGCUUUUGGCGACACAUUUGACUCCAACCACGGUUUGAAAAUAACAUCAAAGUCAAUAUUUCCAUCGUUUCUAGACUUCAUCAAAAGACUUCGAAGUUAUGAUCAGCAGAAUAAUCAUCCGUCAACUCAAAAAUCUAAUUUACUAAUUACGGCUACCCCACGAAAGAAUACCUUUACACAGGUUUGCGUUAAUUCCACCUCCGCACGAUCAAAAUAGAGUCUCCAACCCCGUGUUUUUUUAUUACAGUGUAGGUAAUUUGUUUUGUCCGCAUGAAAUAAAAAGUAAAAAGAUUUAGCCAUUGGUGUUGUCACUUUAAUACACGGUUAGAACCGUUUGGUAUACGACGACAAGUUGGGAACUUAACGGUAAACUGUGUGGUGAGAAAACAGGUAAAUGGAAAUAGUAUGGAGUAAAAGCGAGACUACAAACUCAAUGUUAAAGGCGGCAAGACGAGGAAGCGGAGAAAGAGGUGUUUAAUCCAAUCCAGAGUUUGUUCUUUCGACGAUCGACGUAAUCACUGGCUUCUCGUAGUUUCCACUCAACUCUAGUCACUCGAAACACAGCUCUCGGGUAUACCAAUCAAGUGGGUGUAUACAGGUGAUAAAGCGGCUUUGAAGAUCUGAAUUUUGACCGACGUCAUUGUAUGUGGCUUACAAGUGGAUAAAAUAAUGUAUAUAGAGAACGGAGACGAUCUGUCCUAUAUGUAGACUCUAAGCUUAACUUCCGAGAAUAUUAAAUCAAUAAUUUCAGCUUCAAAGUUACACGAUAUAAUAUUCUAAAGUAAAGAUGAUCAAUAGGAAUAAUUUAUCCGAUACUGUGAUCCAUUACGAGCAAAAAAGGAUUCUGCGGACAUGAAUUAAAAAUAAAUUGUGCUAUCAUAUAUUUAAUUACCUAUUUAUAAUGCU
Molecule: long non-coding RNA, 1179 nt
Organism: Microplitis mediator
Lineage: Eukaryota; Metazoa; Arthropoda; Insecta; Hymenoptera; Braconidae
Exons: 3
Source: RefSeq, a predicted model, not a curated record